GAGCUCACUUUGGCAGUACACAUACUAAAAUUGGAACAAUACAGAAAAGAUUAGCAUGGUGCCUGUGCAAGGAUAACACGCAAAUUUGUAAAAUGUUCCAUAUUUAU
This 107-nucleotide small nuclear RNA is filed under the name Propithecus coquereli (Coquerel's sifaka). Lineage: Eukaryota; Metazoa; Chordata; Mammalia; Primates; Indriidae. The record is from RNAcentral.